AAUGAAUGAUGACAAGAUGUUUCGGUCCCAAAUGACAUGGAAUGAUUCUACUUUCCUACUUUCUGACAUU
Molecule: small nucleolar RNA, 70 nt
Organism: Tyto alba (common barn owl)
Lineage: Eukaryota; Metazoa; Chordata; Aves; Strigiformes; Tytonidae
Rfam family: Small nucleolar RNA SNORD73
About the family: U73 is a member of the C/D class of snoRNA which contain the C (UGAUGA) and D (CUGA) box motifs.
Source: Rfam